Molecule: long non-coding RNA, 447 nt
Filed under: Carica papaya (papaya)
Lineage: Eukaryota; Viridiplantae; Streptophyta; Magnoliopsida; Brassicales; Caricaceae
Description: long non-coding RNA (CPAP_LNC013292)
Source: RNAcentral
UAAAUUUUAAUAGAAUUGAGUGAGUUGUAUAAUCUCACUAAGAACAAUAAAGUUGCAGUUGAAAAGGAGUGAAAUUCAAUCAAAGUGCAUGAUAAUUUAUAAAAAAGAAACUAUUUUAAUUUAAUUUUUUUAAAAAAAUAUAUAAUUUACCCUUCAUGUUGUUUCCAAGUUAGUCUUUUUGCUUUUCUCAAAAAUAUAUGAGGUUCUGAGUCCUGUGCCUCAAGCUGACGAUUGAAGACUCGAGAAGAAGAAAACCUUCUCACUACCCACCCUGCCUGUCUUGCUCGCUGCAAUAUCUGUAUACUCGGCCUUUCACUCCUCUGAACAAAUAAUCUCCGGCCAGUGCCGUCCAACGUCAGCGUUCCAGCAUCGCCUUGUUCAAGCCUCCCUAGCUGCAGCCGCUGUGUACUGCCAUCGAUUUUGGCAAAGUUCAUCGGCUACGUCUCA